CAGUGGCAGUGUUUAUCGGGAAUUGGGGUCGCUUCGGACCCUCCUGCCGCUCCACAGCGCGGUUUCUUCAGCUCGGUUGAUCUCGAGGCUUGGGAUCGAUGCCUGCGGGAGCUCCUCGUCGAGGUCCUUGUCCCAGGAGCUGGGUCUUUCGGUGCCUCGAUAAAAGAUCUUGCAGCAUUAGGUGAAGUUUGCUUCCAGCUGAGUCUUUCGGUGCCUUGAUAAAAGAUCUUGCAGCAUUAGGUGAAGUUUGCAUCCAUCUUUGUCCCUCUGAUGGGAUCAUGGUCAUUUAUCUUUUAUGAACGGUUCACGCAAGUUCUGAUACAAUAAGGAUUAGUCAUAGACAUUCUAUAGCUUGCCUCCAACUUGUAGUGCACGAUACAUUUGCUGUAAUUUACUUUCUUACUUCACAUUUGUUACUUCUUCA
Long non-coding RNA from Musa acuminata AAA Group (dessert banana), 424 nucleotides. RefSeq lists it as uncharacterized. The record is from RefSeq and is a predicted model, not a curated record. Lineage: Eukaryota; Viridiplantae; Streptophyta; Magnoliopsida; Zingiberales; Musaceae. The transcript has 3 exons.